Molecule: ribosomal RNA, 118 nt
Filed under: Labrus bergylta (ballan wrasse)
Lineage: Eukaryota; Metazoa; Chordata; Actinopteri; Labriformes; Labridae
Source: RNAcentral
GCUUACGGCCAUACCACCCUGAACAUGCCGAUCUCGUCAGAUCUCGGAAGCUAAGCAGGGUCGGGCCUGGUUAGUACUUGGAUGGGAGACCGCCUGGGAAUACCAGGUGCUGUAAGCU